UGGAAUAUAAUUAGGGUCAUUCGGAAUGCUUAAGGCGUAACAAGGAUUAUCAAGGUUCACCACUGAUUUAUAAUAUUUCCCUGGUUGCUCAAUCGUUACUGCCUUUUCUUCUAGAGUCUCAUGAUUGUUUUGAUCUGGAGGCUUGUCUUGAAGAUUAUUUGUGCAUAGAUUUGAAAUUUGUUUGCUUAACUGCAGGAAGUUAUUGUUGACAUUAGUUCUAAACUCUCCCAUCUCCUGGAUCUGAGACAUCUGAAGACUUUGUAGGCGAACAAAAUCCGGGUGAGUUGCUAAAUCAAAAUUUUGAGUAUUUG
This 311-nucleotide long non-coding RNA is filed under the name Zostera marina. RNAcentral's name for it is "long non-coding RNA (ZMAR_LNC004576)". The record is from RNAcentral. Lineage: Eukaryota; Viridiplantae; Streptophyta; Magnoliopsida; Alismatales; Zosteraceae.